This 244-nucleotide long non-coding RNA is filed under the name Hordeum vulgare. RNAcentral describes it as "long non-coding RNA (HVUL_LNC019321)". Lineage: Eukaryota; Viridiplantae; Streptophyta; Magnoliopsida; Poales; Poaceae. The record is from RNAcentral.
UCAAUUAUUUCAUUCUUCUCAAGAGGGUGAUCAGGCAAAGCAUUCAGUAGCUGGAUGAGCCUCCCCCAAGCUUGUGGGAGACUCUCUUCCUCAGCUUGAGCAAAGUUGUAUAUUUCCCGCAAGGCAGCUUGCUUCUUAUGGGCAGGGCAAUAUUUUUCACAUAAGUAGUAGACCAUAUCCUGGGGGCUACGCACACAACCAGGAGCAAGAGAAGUGAACCGGGUCUUAGCAUCAUCCUUUAGCG